GUUUGAUCAUGGCUCAGGAUGAACGCUGGCGGCGUGCCUAACACAUGCAAGUCGAACGUGAGGGGAUAGCAAUAUCUCUGAAAGUGGCGAACGGGUGAGUAACACGUAGGUAACCUGCCGCGCAGAGGGGGAUAACGACUGGAAACGGUCGCUAACACCGCAUGGUACUGGGGAUACGGGAGUAUUCUUGGUUAAAACCUUGGUGCUGCGCGAGGGGCCUGCGUCCGAUUAGUUAGUUGGUGAGGUAAAGGCUCACCAAGGCGAUGAUCGGUAGCUGGUCUGAGAGGAUGAUCAGUCACACGGGAACUGAGACACGGUCCCGACUCCUACGGGGGGCAGCAGUGAGGAAUAUUGCGCAAUGGACGAAAGUCUGACGCAGCAACGCCGCGUGGAGGAUGAAGGUCUUUGGAUUGUAAACUCCUUUUCUCAGGGAAGAGAAUGGACGGUACCUGAGGAAUAAGUCACGGCUAACUACGUGCCAGCAGCCGCGGUAAUACGUAGGUGGCAAGCGUUAUCCGGAAUUACUGGGCGUAAAGCGCAUGCAGGCGGCUCUUUAAGUCUGACGUGAAAGCUCCUGGCUUAACUGGGAGAGGUCGUUGGAAACUGGGGGGCUUGAGGCAAUGAGAGGGGUGUAGAAUUCCCGGUGUAGUGGUGGAAUGCGUAGAUAUCGGGAGGAAUACCAGUGGCGAAAGCGGCACCCUGGCAUUGGCCUGACGCUCAUGUGCGAGAGCGUGGGGAGCAAACGGGAUUAGAUACCCCGGUAGUCCACGCCGUAAACGAUGAACACUAGGUGUAGGUGGUGUGAAAACCAUUUGUGCCGAAGCCAACGCGUUAAGUGUUCCGCCUGGGGAGUACGGCCGCAAGGCUAAAACUCAAAUGA
Molecule: ribosomal RNA, 880 nt
Filed under: uncultured bacterium
Lineage: Bacteria
Description: bacterial SSU rRNA
Rfam family: Bacterial small subunit ribosomal RNA
Source: RNAcentral